UCCGUAGGCGGUGUAGCAAGUCGAUAGUGAAAUCUCUGGGCUUAACCCAGAGGCUGCUAACGAAACUGCUAUGCUAGAGUGUGAGAGAGGCGAGUGGAAUUACGGGUGUAGCGGUGAAAUGCGUAGAUAUCCGUAGGAACAUCCGAGGCGAAGGCGGCUCGCUGGAUCACAACUGACGCUGAGGGACGAAAGCUAGGGGAGCAAACAGGAUUAGAUACCCUGGUAGUCCUAGCCCUAAACCAUCAGGACUUGGGGUUUGCCCUGUACGGGGCAAGUCCCGUAGCUAACGCGUUAAGUCCUGCGCCUGGGGAGUACGGUCGCAAGGCUGAA
RNAcentral lists this ribosomal RNA (330 nucleotides) under uncultured bacterium. RNAcentral describes it as "bacterial SSU rRNA". It matches the Rfam family "Bacterial small subunit ribosomal RNA", at positions 568 to 898 of the family's 1533-position model. The record is from RNAcentral.